Molecule: long non-coding RNA, 282 nt
Filed under: Manihot esculenta (cassava)
Lineage: Eukaryota; Viridiplantae; Streptophyta; Magnoliopsida; Malpighiales; Euphorbiaceae
Description: long non-coding RNA (MESC_LNC002161)
Source: RNAcentral
GUGACUUAUGAAGGUUUUGAGCAAAAGAACCAAGUUUUGAAGCUUGGAGCUUUGGAAGAGCUUUUCUUCAUAUCUCCACGUUAGGAUCCUUCAUCCUCAAGUUGUGUAAGAGGUAAGUGAAGAUCCUGAGCUUCUUUGAUGAUUUUGAACGGUUUUAGGAAGUUUGUAUGGGUAGUAUGCAUGUGUAGGUUUAGGUGAGGUUUUUGGUGAUUUGUGGUGUUCAAACAUGUUUACGUGUUAUGUGCUAUGUUUGUUUGGGGUUUUAGGGUAGUUUUAGACCCC